AAAACUUUCAACAACGGAUCUCUUGGUUCUGGCAUCGAUGAAGAACGCAGCGAAAUGCGAUACGUAAUGUGAAUUGCAGAAUUCCGUGAAUCAUCGAAUCUUUGAACGCACAUUGCGCCCGCCAGCAUUCUGGCGGGCAUGCCUGUUCGAGCGUCAUU
This 158-nucleotide ribosomal RNA is filed under the name Cordyceps fumosorosea. RNAcentral describes it as "5.8S ribosomal RNA". It matches the Rfam family "5.8S ribosomal RNA". From Rfam's summary of the family: 5.8S ribosomal RNA (5.8S rRNA) is a component of the large subunit of the eukaryotic ribosome. Lineage: Eukaryota; Fungi; Ascomycota; Sordariomycetes; Hypocreales; Cordycipitaceae. The record is from RNAcentral.